AUUGAACGCUGGCGGAAUGCUUUACACAUGCAAGUCGAGCGGCAGCGCGGCCUUCGGGCCGGCGGCGAGCGGCGAACGGGUGAGUAAUGCAUCGGAACAUGCCCAGUCGUGGGGGAUAACACUUCGAAAGAAGUGCUAAUACCGCAUACGUCCUGAGGGGGAAAGCGGGGGAUCGCAAGACCUCGCGCGAUUGGAGUGGCCGAUGUCAGAUUAGCUAGUUGGUGGGGUAAAGGCCUACCAAGGCGACGAUCUCUAGCUGGUCUGAGAGGAUGAUCAGCCACACUGGGACUGAGACACGGCCCAGACUCCUACGGGAGGCAGCAGUGGGUAAUUUUGGACAAUGGGGGCAACCCUGAUCCAGCCAUUCCGCGUGAGUGAAGAAGGCCUUCGGGUUGUAAAGCUCUUUCGGCAGGAACGAAACGGUGGGCUCUAACAUAGUCCGCUAAUGACGGUACCUGAAGAAGAAGCACCGGCUAACUACGUG
Molecule: ribosomal RNA, 484 nt
Filed under: uncultured bacterium
Lineage: Bacteria
Description: partial 16S ribosomal RNA
Rfam family: Bacterial small subunit ribosomal RNA
Source: RNAcentral